AUACGAAGGGGGCUAGCGUUGCUCGGAAUGACUGGGCGUAAAGGGCGUGUAGGCGGUUGAUACAGUCAGAUGUGAAAUCCCCGGGCUUAACCUAAGGGAGCUGCAUUUGAUACGUGUAGACUAGAGUGUGAGAGAGGGUUGUGGAAUUCCCAGUGUAGAGGUGAAAUUCGUAGAUAUUGGGAAGAACACCGGUGGCGAAGGCGGCAACCUGGCUCAUGACUGACGCUGAGGCGCGAAAGCGUGGGGAGC
This 249-nucleotide ribosomal RNA is filed under the name uncultured bacterium. Its description in RNAcentral is "partial 16S ribosomal RNA". It matches the Rfam family "Bacterial small subunit ribosomal RNA", at positions 523 to 769 of the family's 1533-position model. The record is from RNAcentral.